This 779-nucleotide small RNA is filed under the name Pongo abelii (Sumatran orangutan). Its description in RNAcentral is "processed transcript". The record is from RNAcentral. Lineage: Eukaryota; Metazoa; Chordata; Mammalia; Primates; Hominidae.
UCCGUGGUCACACAACACGAUUCCAAGAAGGCUGGAGCUGAGGUGGUAAAGCAGGUGGAGCACCCUUUGCUGAGUGGCCUCUUGUACCCCGGACUGCAGGCUUUGGAUGAAGAGUAUUUAAAAGUAGAUGCCCAAUUUGGAGGCGUUGAUCAGAGAAAGAUUUUUACCUUUGCAGAGAAGUACCUCCCUGCACUUGGCUAUUCAAAACGGGUCCAUCUGAUGAAUCCUAUGGUUCCAGGAUUAACAGGCAGCAAAAUGAGCUCUUCAGAAGAGGUAAGUUGCCAGCUGAGACUUGAAUUUAGCAGUCUUCAGCCUCAAUGGAGAGAUUGAGGACUGAAAAGAACAGUGACCUAGCUAACUAGAAUUCUCCAAUAUUUGAGUUAGAAGGGGCCUUACACCAUUCAAUUAGUUCAGUAGUUCUUGAGUAUCAAAGGAUCCAGAGCAGUCCUGAUGAGAUCUAAUCAUAACUUAAUGGUUUUUACUGCUGAUAAAAAAAUACAAGCAAAACUAAUGUCUUUGUUCAUAGAACUGUGAUAGAAUUCAGCCUUAUUAAUGAGAGCACUUCGGUUGCAUUUCACUAAUUAGCAUUUUGAUUCCUAGGGUAAUACUUGAUAUUAAUAUUAUGAUAUCUUUUAAUAUUUAAGAGUCCCUCUUGAGCUCAUGUACUUGAGGGCAAGUUCACUUUGGUUCUGAUCAUUAGAGCGUGGAAAUCCAAAGAUGUGAAAAGUUGAGUUCUGGGUUCCCAAACAUGGCUUACCUUCAAAAUCAUCUAGGGAAUU